CGUUAAGGGCGUCGAGCGGCGGACGGGUGAGUAAUGCCUAGGAAAUUGCCCUGAUGUGGGGGAUAACCAUUGGAAACGAUGGCUAAUACCGCAUGAUGCCUACGGGCCAAAGAGGGGGACCUUCGGGCCUCUCGCGUCAGGAUAUGCCUAGGUGGGAUUAGCUAGUUGGUGAGGUAAUGGCUCACCAAGGCGACGAUCCCUAGCUGGUCUGAGAGGAUGAUCAGCCACACUGGAACUGAGACACGGUCCAGACUCCUACGGGAGGCAGCAGUGGGGAAUAUUGCACAAUGGGCGCAAGCCUGAUGCAGCCAUGCCGCGUGUGUGAAGAAGGCCUUCGGGUUGUAAAGCACUUUCAGUCGUGAGGAAGGUGGUGUAGUUAAUAGCUGCAUUACUUGACGUUAGCGACAGAAGAAGCACCGGCUAACUCCGUGCCAGCAGCCGCGGUAAUACGGAGGGUGCGAGCGUUAAUCGGAAUUACUGGGCGUAAAGCGCAUGCAGGUGGUUUGUUAAGUCAGAUGUGAAAGCCCGGGGCUCAACCUCGGAAUAGCAUUUGAAACUGGCAGACUAGAGUACUGUAGAGGGGGGUAGAAUUUCAGGUGUAGCGGUGAAAUGCGUAGAGAUCUGAAGGAAUACCGGUGGCGAAGGCGGCCCCCUGGACAGAUACUGACACUCAGAUGCGAAAGCGUGGGGAGCAAACAGGAUUAGAUACCCUGGUAGUCCACGCCGUAAACGAUGUCUACUUGGAGGUUGUGGCCUUGAGCCGUGGCUUUCGGAGCUAACGCGUUAAGUAACCGCCUGGGGAGUACGGUCGCAAGAUUAAAACUCAAAUGAAUUGACAGGGGCCCGCACAAGCGGUGGAGCAUGUGGUUUAAUUCGAUGCAACGCGAAGAACCUUAACUACUCUUGACAUCCAGAGAACUUUCAGAGAUGGAUUGUUGCCUUCCGGAACUCUGAGACAAGUGCUGCAUGGCUGUCGUCCCCU
This 982-nucleotide ribosomal RNA is filed under the name Vibrio jasicida. RNAcentral's name for it is "bacterial SSU rRNA". It matches the Rfam family "Bacterial small subunit ribosomal RNA", at positions 80 to 1060 of the family's 1533-position model. Lineage: Bacteria; Pseudomonadati; Pseudomonadota; Gammaproteobacteria; Vibrionales; Vibrionaceae. The record is from RNAcentral.